Long non-coding RNA from Vollenhovia emeryi, 2062 nucleotides. RefSeq lists it as uncharacterized. Lineage: Eukaryota; Metazoa; Arthropoda; Insecta; Hymenoptera; Formicidae. The record is from RefSeq and is a predicted model, not a curated record. The transcript has 3 exons.
UGAUAACGCGCCGCGGCGCGACGACUGCGUGCGUGCGGCACAGGGCGGCCGCGUGAUACCUGCCAAAAAAAACAAAGAAGGAAAGAGUCGUGCACCUCUGCGCCACUUCCCGUACAACCGACCCGUUGUUUCGUCCAUUCGGACAAGCAGUAAACGAGCACCGGUUCGAGAGCUAUCGCUAAUCGCGAGGGCGGCUAUUGAUCGGUACAAUUGGCGCUCGGCGAGCGUACAAGCGACGCACUAUGAGGCUUCGGAGGCGAGGAUAAUGACACUGCAACGAAGACGUGCAAGGAAAUCCAGAGAGUUAAUUAGGAAGUACCACCGUAUCAGUCGACGCGGUCGACCCGCUCUCCCCGCAGAAGACGGCGAGGAAGGAUACCUGAUGCAAGAUGCACGAGGCGAGAUCGGGCCGGGGAGAGGAGUAUGGUUGGGCUGUAUCUUAUGUACAAGAGUCUUAAUGUACACAUUCGCGCGUCUUAAAGGCGAAAGUUAGUUAUCCGAAGGUGCGCCAACUUUCGGCACGAAGAGCGUCUGCAAACGCGCUGCUCGGCGCCGCGUGAUCCGUAAAGUUCGCGCUUAUACCGAGAUAAUUCGCUGGGUACACCUUUUUCUAUUCAAUAGCGAGGCGAGGCAGGUGGAGGAGAGCGUACGGGGUUACUCGAGUUACUUACACGAUUAUGAAUUUAACUUGAAUGUUAUAAAUUUCGUUUCCCUCGCGACUGCUCAUAAAUUCUCGCGAUCAAUCAGACCGGCACGGCGCCGGGAAAGACCGUAUUAAAUUUUACGUUGAUUAAAGACACUUUACACGAGUCGGUGCUGGAUAGACGCGAGACGUUUUGUAGCACGAAUUUGUUGGCGUUCUCUCUGGUUUUUUUUUAUUAGCUUUCUCGAACGCAAAUUUUCCGCCGAGUGUAAACAGCUUAAACGAAUAAAGCACACUGUACUUUUCUUUCCGCGUCGCCAGUCGUUACGUCGUAUAUCAAUUUCCCGCGAAAGCACUCGAAACAGAUUUUCACUUAAUGGCACACGCCCGGCACUCAUAGCAAUAAAGAGUUGAACGGUACGCAACCUCUAUUAUGCUAAAGUGCGAGCAGUUGCAAAACUCUCUUUUAACUGUCGCCUCGCCAAGUGUCGCAACGCGCACCGAAGAACCAUAUUUCUCCAAACGACGGGAAACUGUAUGGUCGACGAUGCAAAGGUCGGAAAAGAAUCAGAAAAACUCAUCUCCUCUUCGGCACCUUUGAAUAAUUUCACUAUUAACUUAAUGCCCGAUACGCGACUCGGCUGCGACUAAAAGUUGCAUCGCUCUCGUCCGUCGCGCCAUUUAUUCACAAAUAUGUAAACGAACAAAGAUACGCGGAAAUAUUGAAUCUCGCGUGCAUUCGCUUCGCGCGGGGAAAAAAAUGGGACAUUUUAUCUCGUCGAAAACAUAAAAAGUAUAAUACGUACGUGUUUUUCACGGGAUAGUAAUUUACUUAGCAGUCGCAAAGUCAGGAUCCGGAGCGAACGGGGCGACGUAUCGCGCAGGGGAUUCGAUGUUAAAGUUUAAUAAUCGAGAAAUGUUGGUCAUAUUCGAGCGGCCCUUUGGCAAAAAUCGCGUGGCUGCGCAGCUCGCGAACUCCGCAGUUUUAAUUUCACUUUGUCGAGAUAGAAGCGGAUAGUAUCGGCGAAAAAAGAAAUGAGCAGUCGCCCGUUUACCAACCCGCAUAUAGGCACCGCCGACGAGAUGGGUAUAUACACGGAUCUAUUAUUCAUGCAUGAAUUUGAAACGCACGUUACACCAAAUUGGUACCCUAAAGGGCUAACGUAGCGUACUGAAUAUUACAGGCGGUUUUUAACAUGGAAAUCAAUUCCGCGUAUCAGAUUCAUACAUAAUAGAUGUAAAGGAGUUGUUUCACGGAAAAAAACCUAUUCCACCGGGAAGUUUAUGCUGAAAAGCCGGGCGCGGGGUGAUGCAGCCUGAUGAAAGGAUCAACGGGGUCGAUGGGUAUCGGAUGCAUUAGCGUGUCAUUAUAUUACCCCGUGUACAAAGGCGGAAUAAACAUUAUCAUUACCUCCCCGG